RNAcentral lists this ribosomal RNA (682 nucleotides) under Xanthomonas sp. Air93. Its description in RNAcentral is "bacterial SSU rRNA". It matches the Rfam family "Bacterial small subunit ribosomal RNA", at positions 75 to 754 of the family's 1533-position model. Lineage: Bacteria; Pseudomonadati; Pseudomonadota; Gammaproteobacteria; Lysobacterales; Lysobacteraceae. The record is from RNAcentral.
CUUGCUCCUUGGGUGGCGAGUGGCGGACGGGUGAGGAAUACAUCGGAAUCUGCCUAUUUGUGGGGGAUAACGUAGGGAAACUUACGCUAAUACCGCAUACGACCUACGGGUGAAAGCGGAGGACCUUCGGGCUUCGCGCAGAUAGAUGAGCCGAUGUCGGAUUAGCUAGUUGGCGGGGUAAAGGCCCACCAAGGCGACGAUCCGUAGCUGGUCUGAGAGGAUGAUCAGCCACACUGGAACUGAGACACGGUCCAGACUCCUACGGGAGGCAGCAGUGGGGAAUAUUGGACAAUGGGCGCAAGCCUGAUCCAGCCAUGCCGCGUGGGUGAAGAAGGCCUUCGGGUUGUAAAGCCCUUUUGUUGGGAAAGAAAAGCAGCCGGUUAAUACCCGGUUGUUCUGACGGUACCCAAAGAAUAAGCACCGGCUAACUUCGUGCCAGCAGCCGCGGUAAUACGAAGGGUGCAAGCGUUACUCGGAAUUACUGGGCGUAAAGCGUGCGUAGGUGGUUUGUUAAGUCUGAUGUGAAAGCCCUGGGCUCAACCUGGGAAUUGCAUUGGAUACUGGCAGGCUAGAGUGCGGUAGAGGGUAGUGGAAUUCCCGGUGUAGCAGUGAAAUGCGUAGAGAUCGGGAGGAACAUCCGUGGCGAAGGCGACUACCUGGACCAGCACUGACACUGAGGCAC